RNAcentral lists this ribosomal RNA (484 nucleotides) under uncultured bacterium. RNAcentral's name for it is "partial 16S ribosomal RNA". It matches the Rfam family "Bacterial small subunit ribosomal RNA", at positions 30 to 507 of the family's 1533-position model. The record is from RNAcentral.
AUUGAACGCUGGCGGCAGGCCUAACACAUGCAAGUCGAGCGGAUGAAGGGAGCCUGCUCCUGGAUUCAGCGGCGGACGGGUGAGUAAUGCCUAGGAAUCUGCCUGGUAGUGGGGGAUAACGUCCGGAAACGGGCGCUAAUACCGCAUACGUCCUGAGGGAGAAAGUGGGGGAUCUUCGGACCUCACGCUAUCAGAUGAGCCUAGGUCGGAUUAGCUAGUUGGUGGGGUAAAGGCCUACCAAGGCGACGAUCCGUAACUGGUCUGAGAGGAUGAUCAGUCACACUGGAACUGAGACACGGUCCAGACUCCUACGGGAGGCAGCAGUGGGGAAUAUUGGACAAAGGGCGAAAGCCUGAUCCAGCCAUGCCGCGUGUGUGAAGAAGGUCUUCGGAUUGUAAAGCACUUUAAGUUGGGAGGAAGGGCAGUAAGUUAAUACCUUGCUGUUUUGACGUUACCAACAGAAUAAGCACCGGCUAACUUCGUC